Molecule: ribosomal RNA, 549 nt
Filed under: uncultured bacterium
Lineage: Bacteria
Description: bacterial SSU rRNA
Rfam family: Bacterial small subunit ribosomal RNA
Source: RNAcentral
UGGGGAAUUUUUNGACAAUGGGGGAAACCNUGAUCCAGCAAUNCCGCGUNUGCGAAGAAGGCCUUCGGGUUGUAAAGCACUUUUGUCAGGGAAGAAAUCCUUUGGGCUAAUACCCUAGGGGGAUGACGGUACCUGAAGAAUAAGCACCGGCUAACUACGUGCCAGCAGCCNCCCNAAUACGUAGGGUGCAAGCGUUAAUCGGAAUUACUGGGCGUAAAGCGUGCGCAGGCGGUUGUGUAAGACAGGUGUGAAAUCCCCGGGCUUAACCUGGGAAUUGCAUUUGUGACUGCACGACUAGAGUGUGUCAGAGGGGGGUGGAAUUCCACGUGUAGCAGUGAAAUGCGUAGAUAUGUGGAGGAACACCAAUGGCGAAGGCAGCCCCCUGGGAUAACACUGACGCUCAUNCCCGNAAGCGUGGGGAGCAAACAGGAUUAGAUACCCUGGUAGUCCACGCCCUAAACGAUGUCAACUAGUUGUUGGGGAUUUACUUCCUUGGUAACGUAGCUAACGCGUGAAGUUGACCGCCUGGGGAGUACGGCCGCAAGGUUG